Molecule: ribosomal RNA, 253 nt
Filed under: uncultured bacterium
Lineage: Bacteria
Description: partial 16S ribosomal RNA
Rfam family: Bacterial small subunit ribosomal RNA
Source: RNAcentral
UACGUAGGGGGCAAGCGUUGUCCGGAAUCAUUGGGCGUAAAGAGCUCGUAGGCGGCUUGUCGCGUCGUUCGUGAAAACCUGCAGCUCAACUGCAGGCUUGCGGUCGAUACGGGCAGGCUAGAGUUCGGUAGGGGAGACUGGAAUUCCUGGUGUAGCGGUGGAAUGCGCAGAUAUCAGGAGGAACACCGGUGGCGAAGGCGGGUCUCUGGGCAGUAACUGACGCUGAGGAGCGAAAGCGUGGGGAGCGAACAGG